This 328-nucleotide ribosomal RNA is filed under the name uncultured eukaryote. RNAcentral's name for it is "partial 18S ribosomal RNA". It matches the Rfam family "Eukaryotic small subunit ribosomal RNA", at positions 1470 to 1796 of the family's 1831-position model. The record is from RNAcentral.
CCCUUAGAUGUCCUGGGCCGCACGCGCGUUACACUGAUGCAUUCAACGAGCUUAUAACCUUGGCCGAGAGGCCUGGGCAAUCUUGUUAACGUGCAUCGUGAUAGGGAUAGAUUAUUGAAAUUAUUAAUCUUGAACGAGGAAUUCCUAGUAAACGCAGAUCAUCAAUCUGUAUUGAUUACGUCCCUGCCCUUUGUACACACCGCCCGUCGCACCUACCGAUUGGAUGGUCCGGUGAAGCCUCGGGAUUGUGGUUCUUGCCGCUUUAUUGUGGCGUGACCGCGAGAACUUGUCUAAACCUUAUCAUCUAGAGGAAGGUGAAGUCGUAACA